RNAcentral lists this non-coding RNA (29 nucleotides) under Rattus norvegicus (Norway rat). Lineage: Eukaryota; Metazoa; Chordata; Mammalia; Rodentia; Muridae. The record is from RNAcentral.
UGAAAAGGCUAUUUAUUAAAGUACCUGUU